UUCAACAUGCACGCUAGUUGUUGGGUUACCCGAAACCCGCUAGCGAAGUGAAAGCAAGGCACGGCUCUGUCGUGUAUUUGGCGAGAUCCCGUAACUUGGUGGUGUAAAAACUACCGAGCCGGGCGCAUCGCCGGCCCAUCUCAAGCUCAAGUGGCUGAGGUGGAGCUUGAGCGUGCGCGUUGAGACCCGAAAGAUGGUGAACUAUGCCUGGACAGGGCGAAGCCAGGGGAAACUCUGGUGGAGGCCCGUAGCGAUUCUGACGUGCAAAUCGAUCGUCUGAUCUGGGUAUAGGGGCGAAAGACUAAUCGAACCAUCUAGUAGCUGGUUCCCUCCGAAGUUUCCCUCAGGAUAGCUGGCACUCGGAGAACGUAGUCUCUCCCGAUAAAGCGAAUGAUUAGAGGUCUUGGGGUCGAAACGACUUCAACCUAUUCUCAAACUUUGAAUGGGAGAGUGUCUGGCUUGCUUAAAGCAUGAAGUCCGGACGUUGGAUACGAGCGCCUAGUGGG
Molecule: ribosomal RNA, 506 nt
Filed under: Grevenius granulifer
Lineage: Eukaryota; Metazoa; Tardigrada; Eutardigrada; Parachela; Doryphoribiidae
Description: partial 28S ribosomal RNA
Rfam family: Eukaryotic large subunit ribosomal RNA
Source: RNAcentral